CCGUAAUUUUUUGGGGUAAUUGGAUUUUAAGCCCCUUUUUUCAAUCUUUUGGAAGGCCCCCCCCACGCCCGGGGAGCUUCAUUUUAAAAUCGGAACGCCCCAGGCAGAAGAAGUAAGUGGAGUUCCACGCUAGCGGGGAAGAACUUCCGCUGGUGCUGAACAGCAGUGGUGAAGGCGGGUCUCUCGUCAGUAACUGACGCUGAUGAGCGAGAGCGUGGUGAGAGGACACGAUUAGAUACCGUGUUAGUGCGUGCCGUAAACGAUGAGUGUUAAGUCUUAGGGGGUUUCCGUCCCUUAGUGCUGCAGGUAAUGCAUUAAGCAUUCCGCCUGGGGAGUACGGUCGCCAGACUGAAACUCAAGGGAAUUGACGGGGGCCCGCACAAGCGGUGGAGCAUGUGGUUUAAUUCGAAUCAACGCGAAGAACCUUACCAGGUCUUGACAUCCUCUGACAACCCUAGAGAUAGGGCUUUCCCUUCGGGGACAGAGUGACAGGUGGUGCAUGGUAGUCGUCAGCUCGUGUCGUGAGAUGUUGGGUUAAGUCCCGCAACGAGCGCAACCCUUGAUNUUAGUUGCCAGCAUUCAGUUGGGCACUCUAAGGUGACUGCCGGUGACAAACCGGAGGAAGGUGGGGAUGACGUCAAAUCAUCAUGCCCCUUAUGACCUGGGCUACACACGUGCUACAAUGGACAGAACAAAGGGCUGCAAGACCGCAAGGUUUAGCCAAUCCCAUAAAUCUGUUCUCAGUUCGGAUCGCAGUCUGCAACUCGACUGCGUGAAGCUGGAAUCGCUAGUAAUCGCGGAUCAGCAUGCCGCGGUGAAUACGUUCCCGGGCCUUGUACACACCGCCCGUCACACCAGGAGAGUUUGCAACACCCGAAGUCGGUGAGGUAACCUUUAUGGAGGCCAGCCGCCGAAGGUGGGGCAGAUGAUUGGGGUGAAGUCGAACAAGGAGCCGUCGAG
Molecule: ribosomal RNA, 960 nt
Filed under: Xanthomonas axonopodis
Lineage: Bacteria; Pseudomonadati; Pseudomonadota; Gammaproteobacteria; Lysobacterales; Lysobacteraceae
Description: bacterial SSU rRNA
Rfam family: Bacterial small subunit ribosomal RNA
Source: RNAcentral